This 90-nucleotide transfer RNA is filed under the name Streptomyces griseocarneus. RNAcentral's name for it is "tRNA-Cys". It matches the Rfam family "tRNA". From Rfam's summary of the family: Transfer RNA (tRNA) molecules are approximately 80 nucleotides in length. Their secondary structure includes four short double-helical elements and three loops (D, anti-codon, and T loops). The record is from RNAcentral. RNAcentral also lists the same sequence under 1 other name. Lineage: Bacteria; Bacillati; Actinomycetota; Actinomycetes; Kitasatosporales; Streptomycetaceae.
GGAGAGGUGCCCGGAGUGGUUUAUCGGGGGUCGGAGCAGCAGCUCCGGCCGGGUCUACGGCCCACGCAGGUUCGAAUCCUGCCCUCUCCG